ACAUCGGCCCUUUUCAGGGCCACCAAUUUUUAAAACAGGAACAGG
Molecule: regulatory RNA element, 45 nt
Organism: Trichomalopsis sarcophagae
Lineage: Eukaryota; Metazoa; Arthropoda; Insecta; Hymenoptera; Pteromalidae
Rfam family: Histone 3' UTR stem-loop
About the family: The mRNAs of metazoan histone genes lack a poly-A tail. 3' end processing occurs at a site between a highly conserved stem-loop (modelled by this family) and a purine rich region around 20 nts downstream (the histone downstream element, or HDE).
Source: Rfam